GAAGGGGGCUAGCGUUGCUCGGAAUUACUGGGCGUAAAGGGAGCGUAGGCGGAUAGUUAAGUCCGGUGUGAAAGAUCAGGGCUCAACCCUGAGAGUGCAUCGGAAACUGGUUAUCUUGAGGACAGGAGAGGAAAGUGGAAUUCCACGUGUAGCGGUGAAAUGCGUAGAUAUGUGGAGGAACACCAGUGGCGAAGGCGACUUUCUGGACUGUAACUGACGCUGAGGCGCGAAAGCGUGGGGAGCAAACAGGAUUAGAUACCCUGGUAGUCCACGCUGUAAACGAUGAGUGCUAGGUGUAGAGGGUAUCGACCCCUUCUGUGCCGCAGUUAACACAAUAAGCACUCCGCCUGGGGAGUACGGCCGCAAGGUUG
Molecule: ribosomal RNA, 371 nt
Filed under: uncultured bacterium
Lineage: Bacteria
Description: bacterial SSU rRNA
Rfam family: Bacterial small subunit ribosomal RNA
Source: RNAcentral